CAUUUAUUAAUGCAUCAAUGUUAAGACAAAUACAGUUAAGAAAUAAAUAUUUAUUUACACACGACAUCUGGAAUUAGAGUUGAAUUGGAGCACGGUAAACGAACUAACAUGGUAAAUACACUGAAGUACAAAACAAAAGAGAAAUCAUACAUUGCACAAAACAUGGUGGAAAAAGACGAGGUGUGUAUGAGGUGUGUAUGAGGUGUGUAUGAGGUGUGUAUGAGGUGUGUAUGAGGUGUGUAUGUGGUGUGUAUGAGGAGUGUAUGUGGUGUGUAUGAGGUGUGUAUGAGGUGUGUAUGAGGAGUGUAUGUGGUGUGUAUGAGGUGUGUAUGUGGUGUGUAUGAGGUGUGUAUGAGGUGUGUAUGUGGUGUGUAUGAGGUGUGUAUGUGGUGUGUAUGAGGUGUGUAUGAGUUGUGUAUGAGGAGUGUAUGUGGUGUGUAUGAGGAGUGUAUGUGGUGUGUAUGAGGUGUGUAUGUGGUGUGUAUGAGGUGUGUAUGUGGUGUGUAUGAGGUGUGUAUGAGGUGUGUAUGAGGUGUGUAUGAGGAGUGUAUGAGGUGUGUAUGAG
Long non-coding RNA from Ictalurus punctatus (channel catfish), 565 nucleotides. Lineage: Eukaryota; Metazoa; Chordata; Actinopteri; Siluriformes; Ictaluridae. The record is from Ensembl.